This 337-nucleotide unclassified non-coding RNA is filed under the name soil metagenome. Its description in RNAcentral is "partial contains 5.8S ribosomal RNA, internal transcribed spacer 2, and large subunit ribosomal RNA". The stretch from base 1 to 120 matches the Rfam family "5.8S ribosomal RNA", at positions 35 to 154 of the family's 154-position model. The record is from RNAcentral.
GAUGAAGAACGUAGCGAAAUGCGAUAAGUAGUGUGAAUUGCAGAAUUCAGUGAAUCAUCGAAUCUUUGAACGCACAUUGCGCCCCUUGGUAUUCCAUGGGGCAUGCCUGUUCGAGCGUCAUUUGUACCUUCAAGCUCUGCUUGGUGUUGGGUGUUUGUCUCGCCUCUGCGUGUAGACUCGCCUUAAAACAAUUGGCAGCCGGCGUAUUGAUUUCGGAGCGCAGUACAUCUCGCGCUUUGCACUCAUAACGACGACGUCCAAAAGUACAUUUUUACACUCUUGACCUCGGAUCAGGUAGGGAUACCCGCUGAACUUACGCAUAUCAAUAAGCGGAGGA